AUGGCGAAUGAAAGAGAUGUGCUUAGUGUCAAAAUCAGGUUUUCCUGAAUUGUAGGCUGUAGGGGUGAUGCCAACUUGGGUGCAGGUGAAAGUCUCUUGGAAAGGAGCACCAGUGAGGGUCAGGGUCCCGCCUGUCAUCUGUCAUCCCUUGUGGACGGUUUGCCCAUUGAGAGUCGUGUUCUUCUGGAAUAGAGCGCCAAUCGGGUGGUACUCUUUGCCUAAGGAGCAUUACAUGCUUGAGACCAAUAGCGAACAAGUACCAUGAGGGAAGGGUGAAAAGGACUUUGGAAAGAGGGUUAAGAGGGCAUGAAGCUGCUGGAAGGGAAGUGGAUUGGACUUUUACACCACGGUAAGAUUGCAGUUUGCAGUCUCCACUUGUGGGGAACUGUGUGCUGUGUCUCUUGCCGUAUGGUUGAGCUCUGUGUAGUGCUCAGAAUCUUAGCGUGGACUUGUGAUUGGUUGCGAUCUUGAUCAUGUCCUUGCCUACUCUUAGCGCAACAUCUAUCUUGACCAAAUGGUUCAAUUUUACCCGUCUUGAAACACGGACCAAGGAGUCUAAUGCGUGUGCAAGUGCAAGGGAUUGACACCUGACAGCUCAACAAAGGUGACUGCUGGGAUUCUUGCACCAGCAACCAACUGAUCGCUUAGGAGAUGUUUGUGUAUGAGCACACUUGCUAGGACCCGAAAGGUGGUGAACUAUGCCUGAGAAGGGUGACGUCACGGGAAACUCUGAUGGAAGCUCGUAGCGCUACUGACGUGCAAAUCGUUCGUCUGACUUGGGUAUAGGGGCGAAGACUAAUCGAACCAUCUAGUAGCUGGGUCCCCUCCGAAGUUUCCCUCACNUAGCUGAGCAGACAGUUUUAUUCAGUAAAGCGAUGAUUCGAGCAUGGGGGUAUGUACCCUGACCCACUCUCAACUUUUAAUGG
This 926-nucleotide ribosomal RNA is filed under the name Amphidinium massartii. RNAcentral describes it as "partial large subunit ribosomal RNA". It matches the Rfam family "Eukaryotic large subunit ribosomal RNA", at positions 86 to 1072 of the family's 3401-position model. Lineage: Eukaryota; Dinophyceae; Amphidiniales; Amphidiniaceae. The record is from RNAcentral.